Molecule: ribosomal RNA, 475 nt
Filed under: uncultured Bacteroidota bacterium
Lineage: Bacteria; Pseudomonadati; Bacteroidota
Description: bacterial SSU rRNA
Rfam family: Bacterial small subunit ribosomal RNA
Source: RNAcentral
UGCCGCGUGCAGGAAGACKGUCCUAUGGAUUGUAAACUGCUUUUAUUUGGGAAUAAACUCCUCUACGUGUASAGGCCUGAAGGUACCAAAUGAAUAAGCACCGGCUAACUCCGUGCCAGCAGCCGCGGUAAUACGGAGGGUGCAAGCGUUAUCCGGAAUCAUUGGGUUUAAAGGGUCCGCAKGCGGUCGUAUAASUCAGUGGUGAAAUCUCUCGGCUUAACCGAGAAACUGCCAUUGAUACUGUACGUCUUGAAUUCGGUCGAAGUGGGCGGAAUAUGUCAUGUAGCGGUGAAAUGCUUACAUAUGACAUAGAACACCGAUAGCGAAGGCAGCUCACUASGCCUGGAUUGACGCUCAGGGACGAAAGCGUGGGUAGCGAACAGGAUUAGAUACCCUGGUAGUCCACGCCGUAAACUAUCAAUACUCGUUUUCAGCGAUAUACAGUUGGAGACUAAGCGAAAGUGAUAAGUAUUGC